GCGGACGUGGUGGAAUUGGUAGACACGCCAGAUUUAGGUUCUGGUGGUGAUUGUGCCGUGGGGGUUCGAGUCCCUCCGCCCGCA
RNAcentral lists this transfer RNA (84 nucleotides) under Holosporaceae bacterium. Its description in RNAcentral is "tRNA-Leu". It matches the Rfam family "tRNA". From Rfam's summary of the family: Transfer RNA (tRNA) molecules are approximately 80 nucleotides in length. Their secondary structure includes four short double-helical elements and three loops (D, anti-codon, and T loops). Further hydrogen bonds mediate the characteristic L-shaped molecular structure. tRNAs have two regions of fundamental functional importance: the anti-codon, which is responsible for specific mRNA codon recognition, and the 3' end, to which the tRNAs corresponding amino acid is attached (by aminoacyl-tRNA synthetases). tRNAs cope with the degeneracy of the genetic code in two manners: having more than one tRNA (with a specific anti-codon) for a particular amino acid; and 'wobble' base-pairing, i.e. permitting non-standard base-pairing at the 3rd anti-codon position. The record is from RNAcentral. Lineage: Bacteria; Pseudomonadati; Pseudomonadota; Alphaproteobacteria; Holosporales; Holosporaceae.